Long non-coding RNA from Apodemus sylvaticus (European woodmouse), 569 nucleotides. RefSeq lists it as uncharacterized. The record is from RefSeq and is a predicted model, not a curated record. The transcript is spliced from 4 exons. Lineage: Eukaryota; Metazoa; Chordata; Mammalia; Rodentia; Muridae.
AGCAUCUUGACGCGGCGUGUUGAUUCCUGUUCACCCGAGAUCUACCUCACAUGUACAGUGAGUGCCAGGCCCUGUGGGGUUGCAGGCACAGGCAGGGUCCACAUCCUGCUUAAAAGGAGUUACCACCCAACUGGAAUGCGAAAUAGUGAGUGAAGGGUAGCACCAAGAGUGGACCUAAGUACAGUGAAGACAAGACCAGGACAGUUGUGGUGUGGCAGCAGAUCAACAUUGUUCAGACGUGAGCCAUGGGAGACAUUUGCUACGGGUUCAAGAUCCAUGGAUCAAUAACGUCUACCAAGGAUAGUGUCCUGAAACACAAGCACAUAGGCCAUAGUGGGUCAGGACUUAGCGACCAAUGAUGAGGCCACCGAGGUCCAGAGGUUCAGAAGCAGCCUGGGAUCUCUCCUCUUGGAUGUAUCGACAUGCUCAGAGGGCCAAUGAGAUAGUUCAGCAGACAAAGGCUCUUCCCACCAAGACUGGAGUGCUGGGUUCGAUCCCUGGGAUCUGCACCUCCUCAGGAGAGAAGUGAUUUCCACAUGUUUUCCUCUGACCUCCGUAUGUGUGAGGUA